Cercocebus atys (sooty mangabey) is the source of this 665-nucleotide long non-coding RNA. RefSeq lists it as uncharacterized. The record is from RefSeq and is a predicted model, not a curated record. NCBI's taxonomy places the organism in Eukaryota, Metazoa, Chordata, Mammalia, Primates, Cercopithecidae. The transcript is spliced from 2 exons.
AAAAAAAACAAAAAAAACAAAAAAAGAAAGUCUAUCGACUUUUCAUUUCUGUUCUACCGACUUUUCAUUUCAUUUCUAUCGACGUUCCCAUGCUGUUACGCACAUUUUAAGGCUGUGCCUGUAAUUUUUUUAACGUCCACAAAGGCUAGCUAGGAGGUUAUUCUUCUCCGCUUGACCUCGAGUUACAGAGAUGCCAGAUGAAGUCAAAGAGGAUACCAGAUGCAGCCAGGCGGCUGGGGAGGCACGUACGUCUCAGCUGACCCAGGGCAGCUGUUCUCCAGGGCGCGGCUUGGCCAUGGCGGCGGCCCCAGCGCCCGCAUUCAGCCCAACCCACCAGGUCACCCCAGUCCAGUCCGUGGUGCUCAGAUCCCCAAGCAAUCACAGGUCUGAGGCCGAAAGAACUAUGUGAAUGUGUACGGUGAUAUUAGGCGCACGCUCUGAACGAAGGGAAACCGAAGCACUUCAAGGGGCAGCGUUCAGAGGAGGGGAAAGACUGCAGGGUCUGGGUGUGAUCCCUGCCUGGACUCUCUUAGAAGCUCCACUAUCCUCUUCUCCAGUGAUUUGUCUUCCCAUUCCAGAAUUUCUUACCUUAACCUACUCAGCCUGAGUUAAAUAAGCAUCUGCAUGCAGAAAUAAGUAAGUGGGGGAAUUUGUACUUUUCUGCA